RNAcentral lists this ribosomal RNA (433 nucleotides) under uncultured bacterium. RNAcentral describes it as "partial 16S ribosomal RNA". It matches the Rfam family "Bacterial small subunit ribosomal RNA", at positions 29 to 507 of the family's 1533-position model. The record is from RNAcentral.
AACGAACGCUGGCGGCAUGCCUAAUACAUGCAAGUCGAACGAGAUCUUCGGAUCUAGUGGCGCACGGGUGCGUAACGCGUGGGAAUCUGCCCUUGGGUUCGGAAUAACUUCUGGAAACGGAAGCUAAUACCGGAUGAUGACGUAAGUCCAAAGAUUUAUCGCCCGAGGAUGAGCCCGCGUAGGAUUAGCUAGUUGGUGGGGUAAAGGCCCACCAAGGCGACGAUCCUUAGCUGGUCUGAGAGGAUGAUCAGCCACACUGGGACUGAGACACGGCCCAGACUCCUACGGGAGGCAGCAGUAGGGAAUAUUGGACAAUGGGGGAAACCCUGAUCCAGCAAUGCCGCGUGAGUGAUGAAGGCCUUAGGGUUGUAAAGCUCUUUUACCCGGGAUGAUAAUGACAGUACCGGGAGAAUAAGCUCCGGCUAACUCCGUG